Molecule: transfer RNA, 69 nt
Filed under: Ceriagrion fallax
Lineage: Eukaryota; Metazoa; Arthropoda; Insecta; Odonata; Coenagrionidae
Description: tRNA-Gln
Source: RNAcentral
UAUUUCUUGGUGUAUUGAUGCACGAAAAUUUUUGAUGUUUUAGGAGUAGUUUAAGCCUGCAAGAAAUAA